This 336-nucleotide unclassified non-coding RNA is filed under the name soil metagenome. RNAcentral's name for it is "partial contains 5.8S ribosomal RNA, internal transcribed spacer 2, and large subunit ribosomal RNA". The stretch from base 1 to 120 matches the Rfam family "5.8S ribosomal RNA", at positions 35 to 154 of the family's 154-position model. The record is from RNAcentral.
GAUGAAGAACGUAGCGAAAUGCGAUAAGUAAUGUGAAUUGCAGAACUCAGUGAAUCAUCGAAUCUUUGAACGCACAUUGCGCCCCCUGGCUUUCCGGGGGGCAUGCCUGUUCGAGCGUCAUUUCAACCAUCAAGCCCCCGGCUUGUGUUGGGGACCUGCGGCUGCCGCAGGCCCUGAAAAGCAGUGGCGGGCUCGCUGUCACACCGAGCGUAGUAGCAUACAUCUCGCUCUGGGCGUGCUGCGGGUUCCGGCCGUUAAACCACCUUCAUAACCCAAGGUUGACCUCGGAUCAGGUAGGAAGACCCGCUGAACUUAAGCAUAUCAAUAAGCGGAGGA